CCCUUUAGAUGUUCUGGGCCGCACGCGCGCUACACUGACGCAUUCAACGAGUCUAAAACCUGGUCUGAUAGGGCUGGGUAAUCUUUUGAAUGUGCGUCGUGAUUGGGAUAAAUGAUUGUAAUUCUUCAUUUUCAACGAGGAAUGCCUAGUAAACGCAAGUCAUCAGCUUGCAUUGAUUACGUCCCUGCCCUUUGUACACACCGCCCGUCGCUCCUACCGAUUGAAUGAUCCGAUGAAUAUCAUGGACUGAGAGUGUUAGAGUUUUCGGACUUCUACACUUCUCGGGAAGUGAAGUGAAUCUUAUCAUUUAGAGGAAGGAGAAGUCGUAACA
This 331-nucleotide ribosomal RNA is filed under the name uncultured eukaryote. RNAcentral's name for it is "partial 18S ribosomal RNA". It matches the Rfam family "Eukaryotic small subunit ribosomal RNA", at positions 1469 to 1796 of the family's 1831-position model. The record is from RNAcentral.